This 253-nucleotide ribosomal RNA is filed under the name uncultured bacterium. RNAcentral's name for it is "partial 16S ribosomal RNA". It matches the Rfam family "Bacterial small subunit ribosomal RNA", at positions 524 to 776 of the family's 1533-position model. The record is from RNAcentral.
UACGUAGGGUGCGAGCGUUGUCCGGAAUUAUUGGGCGUAAAGGGCUCGUAGGCGGUUUGUCGCGUCGGGAGUGAAAACUCAGGGCUUAACCCUGAGCCUGCUUCCGAUACGGGCAGACUAGAGGUAUGCAGGGGAGAACGGAAUUCCUGGUGUAGCGGUGAAAUGCGCAGAUAUCAGGAGGAACACCGGUGGCGAAGGCGGUUCUCUGGGCAUUACCUGACGCUGAGGAGCGAGAGUGUGGGGAGCGAACAGG